UAGUUGGUGGAGUGAUUUGUCUGGUUAAUUCCGUUAACGAACGAGACCCCCGCCUGCUAAAUAGUGAUCAUAAUGCAUAGCAUUGUGGUUUUUUUACUUCUUAGAGGGACUUUUGGUGACUAACCAAAGGAAGUUGGGGGCAAUAACAGGU
RNAcentral lists this ribosomal RNA (151 nucleotides) under Stramenopiles sp. RNAcentral describes it as "partial small subunit ribosomal RNA". It matches the Rfam family "Eukaryotic small subunit ribosomal RNA", at positions 1295 to 1461 of the family's 1831-position model. The record is from RNAcentral.